GACGAACGCUGGCGGCGUGCUUAACACAUGCAAGUCGAACGCUGAAGCUCAGCUUUUGUUGGGUGGAUGAGUGGCGAAAGGGUGAGUAACACGUGAGUAACCUGCCUCCUUCUUUGGGAUAACGCCCGGAAACGGGUGCUAAUACUGGAUAUUCACUGGUCUUCGCGUGGGGGUUGGUGGAAAGGGUUUUUCUGGUGUGGGAUGGGCUCGCGGCCUAUCGGCUUGUUGGUGGGGUGAUGGCCUACCAAGGCUUUGACGGGUAGCCGGCCUGAGAGGGUGACCGGUCACAUUGGGACUGCGAUAAGGCCCAGACUCCUACGGGAGGCAGCAGUGGGGAAUAUUGCGCAAUGGGCGCAAGCCUGAUGCAGCGACGCCGAGUGAGGGAUGGAGGCCUUAGGGUUGUGAACCUCUUUCGCUAAUGGUCAAGCCGCAACAAUGGUUGUGGUGAGGGUAGUGGGUAAAGAAGCGCCGGCUAACUACGUG
Molecule: ribosomal RNA, 483 nt
Filed under: uncultured bacterium
Lineage: Bacteria
Description: partial 16S ribosomal RNA
Rfam family: Bacterial small subunit ribosomal RNA
Source: RNAcentral